GAAUCAACGACUCCCUAAUUUCUACUGUUUAUCUGUUUUAUUUUAACUAUCCAGUACAGAUUGGAUUAAGAGUGACUGUUCCUAAUGUACAGUAGGAGUAUAAGGUUUGGCGUUGCUUACUUGUAUAACUUCAAAUGUUUCGUAUUUCAGGUGACUUGAAGCCUGGAGCAGAAGUCAAGAUAACUGGACCUGUUGGGAAAGAAAUGCUCAUGCCUAAAGAUCCAAAUGCCACCAUUGUUAUGGUGAAUUUUUCUUUAGCUAGUUUAUUGUCAUCUAAGUCAUUUCUGCUGCCUUUUAGUUGACUAUGCAUUUUUUGCUAUUUCGUGACUCCCUAAUUUCAUAGACUAUGUUAAUGUUUGUCUGUUUUUAUCAUAGUUGUCCAAUCCAGAUUGGAUUAAAGUGACUGUUCCUAAUGCAUAGAACAAGAACAUGCUUGCCUGCUUACUUAUGUAAGUUCAAAUGUUACAUAUUUCAGGUGACUUGAAGCCUGGAGCAGAGGUCAAGAUUACUGGACCUGUUGGGAAAGAAAUGCUCAUGCCUAAGGAUCCAAAUGCCACCAUUGUUAUGGUGAAUUUUUCUUUAGCUACUUUAUUAUCAUCUAAGUCAUUUCUGC
Molecule: long non-coding RNA, 613 nt
Filed under: Nicotiana benthamiana
Lineage: Eukaryota; Viridiplantae; Streptophyta; Magnoliopsida; Solanales; Solanaceae
Description: long non-coding RNA (NBEN_LNC003317)
Source: RNAcentral